Molecule: non-coding RNA, 77 nt
Organism: Schistosoma curassoni
Lineage: Eukaryota; Metazoa; Platyhelminthes; Trematoda; Strigeidida; Schistosomatidae
Source: Rfam
AGCCUUCUGAAUUCGUGUCGAGAUUUGUCGGACACCAGACCAUCAGCUCUGAUGAGACUCCCAAUAUAAGUGAAGUG